UGGGGAAUAUUGGACAAUGGGGGGAACCCUGAUCCAGCCAUGCCGCGUGUGUGAAGAAGGCCUUAUGGUUGUAAAGCACUUUAAGCGAGGAGGAGGGUACUGGUAUUAAUACUACCAGCUACUGGACGUUACUCGCAGAAUAAGCACCGGCUAACUCUGUGCCAGCAGCCGCGGUAAUACAGAGGGUGCGAGCGUUAAUCGGAUUUACUGGGCGUAAAGCGUGCGUAGGCGGCUAAUUGAGUCGGAUGUGAAAUCCCCGAGCUUAACUUGGGAAUUGCAGUCGAUACUGGUUAGCUAGAGUGUGGGGGAGGAUGGUAGAAUUCCAGGUGUAGCGGUGAAAUGCGUAGAGAUCUGGAGGAAUACCGAUGGCGAAGGCAGCCAUCUGGCCUAACACUGACGCUGAGGUACGAAAGCAUGGGGAGCAAACAGG
This 430-nucleotide ribosomal RNA is filed under the name Pseudomonadota bacterium. Its description in RNAcentral is "Proteobacteria bacterium partial 16S ribosomal RNA". It matches the Rfam family "Bacterial small subunit ribosomal RNA", at positions 355 to 776 of the family's 1533-position model. The record is from RNAcentral. Lineage: Bacteria; Pseudomonadati; Pseudomonadota.